Molecule: long non-coding RNA, 278 nt
Filed under: Phoenix dactylifera (date palm)
Lineage: Eukaryota; Viridiplantae; Streptophyta; Magnoliopsida; Arecales; Arecaceae
Description: long non-coding RNA (PDAC_LNC022609)
Source: RNAcentral
AAAUUGAAAAAAAAGAAAACAUUGAUCAUCUCCCAAUGUCCCUCGGAAUCACAUCCACGUUGAUCAUCUUCCAAUUCUUCCGCUAGAUCCCACGUUUAUCCCGUUCGGAUUGGUUCCAUCUUCAUGGGAUAAACUCAAAUCCCAUCUUCCUGCGUGAUCUCAUGGAACAUCCCGAGUCUGCCACGUCCUGCAUCUUCCCCUGUUUUGGAAUAACAUCCUCUCAGCCGAGAUCCCAACUUCUUUCCCCUGUUUCACGUUCAAACCCGUUCGCAAAUCAA